AAAUAAUAGAAAAAGGAGAGAAGGAGAACUAAACA
This 35-nucleotide small RNA is filed under the name Arabidopsis thaliana (thale cress). RNAcentral describes it as "ATSL170280". The record is from RNAcentral. Lineage: Eukaryota; Viridiplantae; Streptophyta; Magnoliopsida; Brassicales; Brassicaceae.